AUUGAACGCUGGCGGCAUGCCUUACACAUGCAAGUCGAACGGUAACAGGUUUUCGGAUGCUGACGAGUGGCGAACGGGUGAGUAAUACAUCGGAACGUGCCUAGUAGUGGGGGAUAACUACUCGAAAGAGUAGCUAAUACCGCAUGAGAUCUACGGAUGAAAGCAGGGGAUCGCAAGACCUUGUGCUACUAGAGCGGCUG
RNAcentral lists this ribosomal RNA (200 nucleotides) under uncultured bacterium. RNAcentral's name for it is "partial 16S ribosomal RNA". It matches the Rfam family "Bacterial small subunit ribosomal RNA", at positions 30 to 232 of the family's 1533-position model. The record is from RNAcentral.